RNAcentral lists this ribosomal RNA (486 nucleotides) under uncultured Microbacteriaceae bacterium. RNAcentral describes it as "bacterial SSU rRNA". It matches the Rfam family "Bacterial small subunit ribosomal RNA", at positions 8 to 507 of the family's 1533-position model. Lineage: Bacteria; Bacillati; Actinomycetota; Actinomycetes; Micrococcales; Microbacteriaceae. The record is from RNAcentral.
AGAGUUUGAUCCUGGCUCAGGACGAACGCUGGCGGCGUGCUUAACACAUGCAAGUCGAACGAUGAAGCCCAGCUUGCUGGGUGGAUUAGUGGCGAACGGGUGAGUAACACGUGAGUAACCUGCCCUUGACUCUGGGAUAAGCGCUGGAAACGGCGUCUAAUACCGGAUAUGACAACCGACGGCAUCGUCUGGUUGUGGAAAGAAUUUUGGUCAAGGAUGGACUCGCGGCCUAUCAGCUUGUUGGUGAGGUAAUGGCUCACCAAGGCGACGACGGGUAGCCGGCCUGAGAGGGUGACCGGCCACACUGGGACUAAGACACGGCCCAGACUCCUACGGGAGGCAGCAGUGGGGAAUAUUGCACAAUGGGCGAAAGCCUGAUGCAGCAACGCCGCGUGAGGGACGACGGCCUUCGGGUUGUAAACCUCUUUUAGCAGGGAAGAAGCGAAAGUGACGGUACCUGCAGAAAAAGCACCGGCUAACUACGUG